GACCCGUUAGCUCAGCUGGUAGAGCAAUUCCCUUUUAAGGAAUGGGCCGUUGGUUCAAAUCCAACACGGGUCA
Molecule: transfer RNA, 73 nt
Filed under: Helicobacter pylori
Lineage: Bacteria; Pseudomonadati; Campylobacterota; Epsilonproteobacteria; Campylobacterales; Helicobacteraceae
Also listed under: 6 other names
Description: tRNA-Lys
Rfam family: tRNA
About the family: Transfer RNA (tRNA) molecules are approximately 80 nucleotides in length. Their secondary structure includes four short double-helical elements and three loops (D, anti-codon, and T loops). Further hydrogen bonds mediate the characteristic L-shaped molecular structure. tRNAs have two regions of fundamental functional importance: the anti-codon, which is responsible for specific mRNA codon recognition, and the 3' end, to which the tRNAs corresponding amino acid is attached (by aminoacyl-tRNA synthetases). tRNAs cope with the degeneracy of the genetic code in two manners: having more than one tRNA (with a specific anti-codon) for a particular amino acid; and 'wobble' base-pairing, i.e. permitting non-standard base-pairing at the 3rd anti-codon position.
Source: RNAcentral